RNAcentral lists this long non-coding RNA (7638 nucleotides) under Homo sapiens (human). Its description in RNAcentral is "non-protein coding RUSC1-AS1:8". The record is from RNAcentral. Lineage: Eukaryota; Metazoa; Chordata; Mammalia; Primates; Hominidae.
GAGCUGCACAGGCCAAGGAAUUCCACAGAGGGUGUGACCCAAAGCCCCUAACAACAGACUCGCUGGGACCCCCUAGACUUGGCAUGGAGGCUGGCGUCGAUUUUCCCAUCAUCCGCCUCUAAGAGCUCAGAGGUAGGGAGAUCCUGCUCCGCCCUCUCGUCCUCUUCCUCCAAGCCUGGGGAAGGGACGUCCUGGCAGGUGGUCAGGGCGUUGCAGUUCGAGUCCAGGCCAGGAUCGGGUGAAGAAGAAGCUCCGGAGCAGGAAUCAGGAGAGCAGCAGAAGCUGUCCGGUGCAGACCUAGAAGACAGAGGUGGUGAAGCCCGGCCAGUGAGGACAAGAGCUGCGGGGAAGGACACCGAGAUGAGAUGCAAAUCGCAAUCGACUGACCAUUAGUUUCCACUGCAGUGUUUGCAGAUGGAGUCGAAUGUAACCCCCCGGGAAUGGAGCCGGGAGGGUCAGAGAACGCGGCUGCGCUCUGGAUCUCCGAAGGGGGGCGGGGGCCUGGAAGAGGUCCGGGCCCAGAAUGGACCUCCAGGUCCCUGCUGCCGCAAUCUGGCCCUGCCCUCCAGCCUACCCCUUACUCCCAGAGGAAGGGACCCAGGGAGACCCACCCAGAUGCCCUGAAAGGAGGUGGAGGAUGGGGGUGGGGCAAUACGCAGAGUUUGUCUGGUGAAUGCAGGAAAGGGGUGGGGGCUGGAGAGGAAAAGGAUGGAGCAGCCGUCAGCUUGUCAACUCCGCAUCUGCUGGCUGCCUCGGCCGGGCUCCAGCCUGCGCCCUCGCCCCUCGGAACAGCGGUAUGUCCAUUCUCUCCGCAUUCGUCUCCAUCGUUCAGCCACCACCGCACCCUUUCUCUAUUCAUUUCUCCUGCUCCCUUGUCCUGCCCCGCCCCUCGUGCCCAGGUCCAUCGGUCUACACCCAUGGGCCGAGCCCUCCUCACCAGGGUCCUCCUGGAACCGCUCCGGCCUUGGGCUUGUCCGCGGCUCCCACGGUCCCCGCCCGGCGGGGCACAGAGCGGGAGGGGAGGGGCACUAGCACAACCUACCCUGCGCUGCGCAGCUGCACCCCUUCGCGCAUGGGCGUGGCGUAGCUCAGACCCGCCCCCAGCGUUUAGCGUCUUUUGUCACCCACCUAGAGGGUUUGAUAUAUCCUAAGCUUUUGGCCCCUGGGUCCUGGUUCCGUGCAGCGAGUCCUCCCAGCACCCCACCCUGCACAUUCUGGAAAGAGCCAGACUCUGGCUGGGCCGAGCAAGAACAGAACCACAAGAAGGUUACACGAUUAUUUAUUGAGAGCCUCCUCUCCCCGCCCUUGCAAUCUCUAGGUCACUUUCUCCGCUUGUAGAUUUUGCGCGCAAGCCCCAGAAAGACGGCUGGGGGCAGGGGUGCUGCGUACUGUUCAAUGAGAGCCAUAAUGUGGCUGUAACUGUCUUCCUCAUAUUGCAAGAACACUGCUGGCAGAUCCAGCUCCUCAUAUAGCGCCUUCACCCGGGCCACUUUCUCAGCCUCCUUCUGCCCGUAAUUUUCCUGGAAGAGGUUGAAAGACAGGAAAACGGGCUUGGCCUUCCCCAGAGCCUCCAGGACCCCUCCACUCCCCUCAUUCACAUAUUCCAGAACAUCUCCAAAGCCACCCACUCCUUUCCUCCCUCCAAUUUUCAAGUGUCUCUACGUAGCUAAAAUCCCAAGCUUCCCUUCCCUAUCCCAAAUAUUGCCUCAUACCAGGCAUCCUCUACUCCAGGGUUUCUCCACCUUGGCACUAUUGAAAUUUGGGACCAGAUAAUCCUGUCUGGGGGAGCUGUUCUGUGUACUACAUGUUUGGCAACAUCUUUGGCUCCUGCCAACUAGAUGUCUGUACCACAUGCACACACACAGAGUUGUAAUGACAAUGGCAAAAAAUGUCUGCUGACAUUGCCAAAUGUCCCCUCGGGAGGAAAACUGCCUCUAGUUGAGAACCACUGCUCUAUCCCUUUCCACCAACUCAGGGACCCACCACCCUCUCUCAGGCACCUUCAGGAUCUGGUACUGUUCUGGAGUGGCCCGUUGCAGACACUGAACCACCAGCCAGCUGCAUUUGUUGUCCUGGAUGUCAGUGCCAAUUUUGCCGGUCACACUGGGGUCCCCAAAGAGGUCAAGGCACGCUGCAAUCCUGUACCCUGAAACCAGCUAGAUGAGCAUGUCCUAUAGAGGCCAAGGCUACCAUGGGCACCCUCUGGGCAUCGGGCCCUGUCUGCAAUACACCUGCAGGAAGAGCUCGAUCAGGUUCAGGUAAUAGGGCUGCUCCCGGCAAUAGAGCUUCAGCAGGCGGUAGAUACAUGCUUCCAGGAGGUUAGCAUCAUUGAUGGCAUCCAAACCCACGCCCGGCUGUCAUGACAGACAGAAAAACAAGCAAUCAAUCUCUAGUCUCGGUUCAUACUAAGAGCCAUCACCCCAACACCUCAACCAGGCCAUAUAUAACCACCUCCCUGUGGCCUGUCCCCAUACCCACUGCUAUUUUCCUGCCCACAUUACCUUCUGAUACCAGCAGAUCUGUCCCCGGCGGGUAAGGGAUGAAUCCAUGAUGUCAUCUGCCACCAGGAAGAAAGCUUGCAGCUAGAAAGAGUGGAAUAAGACCUGCAGGGCUCCUCAUUACUGUUCCUUCUAUCAGCAACAGAGCUGCUACUUUAUAUCUGUAUAUAGUUUUGCUUUUUUUUGGUAGGGGACAGAGUCUCACUAUUAUCCAGUGCAGUGGUGCAGUCACAGCUCACUGUAGCCUCUAACUCCCAGGCUCAAGUGAUCCUCCCACUUCAGCUUCCUGAGUUCCUGAGACCAUAGGCACAUACCCCAUGCCUGGCUAUUUUUUUUUUUUAAUUUAUUUUUUGUAGAGACAGGGUCCCACUAUGUUGCUCAGGCUGGUUUUGAACCCCUGGGUUCAAAUGAUCCUCCUGCCUCAGCCUCCCAAAUUACUGGGAUUACAGGCAUGAGGCAUCACAGCCGGCCAGAGCUGCUGCCUUUGACAGUCCCUAUGAGCUGGGAAAGUCAGGAUGGGGAGACAGAAGACUUCUGUGCUAUGGAGACUUGGAAAGUGACAUAACAUGUUUGGCUCAGACUCCCCGCCUAUAAAAUGGAACUAAAACACUCUUGUUUUAGGUUAAGAAACUAGAACAGAUCUUUGACAUCUCUAAUGAGCCCUAGAUUAUUCCUGGUGUCAGGGAGAUUAGGAAACACCUUCAUAUACCGUACUCUAUUCUUGCCAAAAACCUCAAUGAAUGCUUAAAGUAAGAUCUAUUCAUGAAACUGACUUCACAUUACUUCCUAAAUAAAAGAAGGCUAUUCCCACAUUGCCCCCAGCACUGUGUUUGAACACCCUGGUGACUAGGAACACAGCCUUACCUAAAGCAGCUCCUUAGCAGUGCAGGUCUAAUAAGGUGGAACUGAAAUCUGACUUUGACCUAUGAGUCUCAGACAUCUUUAAACAUCUUUAAACAUUAACUAAGGGCUUACUCUUCUGAGUGCCCAUCUGAAGGUACCUGAACGUGUCGGGUUUCCCACUAGACCAUGAUCUCCUUGGAAGCAGGGACAGUAACUUCCCCCUCUUAGCAUUUGCAGAGCCUAGCACAGCAUUAGGCCUGGAGUGAGAGUUUCCUAAACACUUGUCUGACAAAGAAAUUAAUAAAACACUCUAACAUUCCCUGUGAUACUUCUUGCAGUCAGUCAAACUAUGUUUUGGUUCCUUAAAUAGCUUUUCUUUUUUUUUUUUUUUGAGAUAGAGUCUCACUCUAUCACCCAAGCUGGAGUGCAGUGGCGCCAUGUGGGUUCACUGUAACCUCCGCCUCCCAAAUUCAAGCGAUUCUCCUGCCUCAGCCUCCCAAGUAGCUGGGACUACAGGCACCUGCCACCACCAACUGCUAGGCCAGCUAAUUUUUGUAUUUUCAUUCAGUAGAGACUGGGUUUUGCCAUGUUGGCCAGGCUGGUCUUGAACUCCUGACCUCAAGUGAUCCGCCUGCCUCGGCCUCCCAAAGUGCUGGGAUUACAGGCGUGAGCCAUCGUGUCUGACCAUUAAAUAGCUUUUCAAGACAUGGUUUGGGUUGCUUUUUUAAAGAGACAAGGGUCUUGUCAUGUUGCCCAAGUUGGACUUGAACUCCUGGGCUCAAGUGAUCCUCCUGUCUCAACUCUUGAGAAUCUAGGGAUAUAGGCACACACCAGCGCACCCAGCUCAAGACAUGGUUUUUAUUUUCAUAACUUAUUUCCUUUUUUUGUUUUUCCACUUCUAGAUACAUACCCAGGUUUUUGUUUUUGAGAUGGAGUUUCACUCUCAUUGUCCAGGCUGGAGUGCAAUGGCGCAAUCUCGGCUCACUGCAACCUCCGCCUCCCGGGUUCACGCGAUUCUCCUGCCUCAGCCUCCCAAGUAGCUGGGAUUACAGGCACGUGCCAUCACACCCGGCUAAUUUUUGUGUUUUUAGUAGAGACAAGGUUUCACCAUGUUGGUCAGGCUGGUCUCGAACUCCUGACCUCACGUGAUCCAUCCACCUUGGCCUCCCAAAGUGCUGGGAUUUUAAGUGUGAGCCAAUGCACCCGGCCCUAUACCCAGGUUUUAAUUUUUAUUAUUAUUUUCUUUUGAGACAGGAUCUCACUCUGUCACCCAGGCUUGAGCAGAAGACAUGGUUUGUGUGUUUUUUUUUUUUUGAGAUGGAGUUUCGCUCUUGUUGCCCAGGCUGGAGUGCAAUAGCGCGAUCUUGGCUCACUGCAACCUCCGCCUCCCGGGUUCAAGCGAUUUUCCUGCCUCAGCCUCCUGAGUAGCUGGGAUUAUAGGCAUGUGCCUCCACGCCUGGCUAAUUUUUUUUUUGUUUUUUGUUUUUUGUUUUUUUUUGAGACAGAGUCUCGCUCUUGUUGCCCAGGCUGGAGUGCAGUGGCACAAUCUCAGCUCACUGCAAGCUCCGCCUCCCAGGUUCACGCCAUUCUCCUACCUCAGCCUCCCAAAUAGCUGGGACUACAGGCGCCUGCCACCAUGCCCGGCUAAUAUUUUUUUUGUAUUCUUAGUAGAGACGGGGUUUCACCAUGUUAGCCAGGAUGGUCUCGAUCUCCUGACUUCAUGAUCCGCCCGCCUCAGCCUCCCAAAGUGCUGGGAUUACAGGCAUGAGCCACUGCGCCCAGCCUAAUUUUGUAUUUUCAGUAGAGAUGGGGUUUCCCCAUGUUGGUCAGGCUGGUCUCGAACUCCUGACCUCAGGUGAUCCACCUGCCUCAGCCUCCCAAAGUGCUGGGAUUACAGGCAUGAGCCACUACACUUGGCCUAGAAGACAUGGUUUUUAAGACUUUAUCCCAUCCUAAUCCUGUGUGCUGUAGUGGAUCCACAUUGCAAAGGAAGCAUGCAACACCGCCUGCCAGAGCCCAGCAUGGGCCGUGGGGAAAGGACCGUUGCAAUCACUGCUGUUAUAGGCAGGGUCCUCAGGGAAGGAGGCAUCCAUCUGCAUCUUUACCUCUGACCUAAACUCAGAAGAGUAGUGUGGAGGUCCUGGGCUUUCCACAUCAAAGGCACAUGUUUAAUUGACUCUGUGUUUAUUUGGAGUAGCAUGGUUUCCCUGAAGCCACCCAUUCACUGCCUCUCCCAAGGGUGACUGCAAGGACAAUCUUGUUUCAGCCACCACCACUCAACCAUGAUGGUCUCCAAGAUAAUUAAUUCCAUGGCCUCCCCAAAUUUCCUCUGCCUCCUAGCACUGAUUCUUAACCCCACCAGCACUUUCUAUUUAUUAGGGAAAUUAAAAAAAAAAAAAAAACCCAGGCCAGGCACAGUGGCUCACACCUGUUAUCCCAGUACUCUGGGAGGCCGAGGCAGGCAGAUCACUUGAGCCCGGGAGUUCAAGACCAGCCUGGGCAACAUAGUGACACUCCAUCUCUACCAAAAAACUAUUUAAAAAGCCGGGCGUGGUGGUAGGCACCUGUAGUCUCAGCUACUUGGGAGGCUGAGGUGGAAGGAUCGCUUGAGCCCAGGAGGUCGAGGCUACAGUACACCAUGAUUGCACCACUACACUCAAGCCUGGGCAACAGAAUGAGGCUUUGUCUCUAAAAAAAAAUUUAGACCAGGCGUGGUGGCUCACGCCUGUAAUCCCAACACUUUAGGAGGCCGAGAUGGGCAGAUCACUCGAUGCCACAAGUUCAAGACCAGCCUCAGCAACAUGGUGAAACCUAGUCUCUAAAAAAAAAAAGCCAAGUAGAGGCUCGCUCCUGUAGUCUCAGCUACUUGGGAGGCUGAGGCGGUGGAAGGGUGGCUUCCGCUCCAGAGGCAGAGAUUGCAGUGAGCCAAGAUCAUGCCACUGCACUCCAGCCUGGGUAACAGAGUAAGACCCUGUAUCAAAAAAAAAAAAAAAUUAAAAAUUUUUAAAAACUUACAGGUGAAACUAGGGUGCUGCUAGGGUUAAGAACUGAUUCUAGGCCAGGUGCAGUGGCUCACACCUGUAACGCCUGUAAUCCCAGCGCUUUAGGAGGGCGAGGCAGAUGGAUCACAAGGUCAGGAGUUCCAGACCAGCCUGACCAAUAUGGUGAAACCCCGUCUCUACUAAAAAUACAAAAAUUAGCCAGGGAUGGUGGCAUGUGCCUAUAAUCCCAGCUACUUAGGAGACUGAGGCAGGAGAAUUGCUUGAACCUGGGAGGCAGAGGUUGCAGUGAGCCAAGAUGGUGCCACUGCACUCCAGCCUGGGCAACAGAGAGAGACUCCAUCUCAAAAAAAAAAUGAACUGAUUCUACCAGUUAACCACUGGCCCCUCAAGGUCUUGCUUCCCUUGGCCCCCAUAGCUUUACUCCUCUGCUCUGCCCUCAUCCUCCUUCCCUUCCUUCCUUGCCUGUCAUCUCCAUAUUUUGAACCCCUCAGCCCCUCAGCAUCCCUGUCAUCCAGGGCCCUCUCCCUGGAUGCCAUGGGCCUAUUACCUCCUUGGAAGCAAAUCUCUAUUCUCCAGACCCAUCUCCCCGACAAGUUCCAGACUGGAAUUUCCACCGCCCACAGGACAGGCAGAUCCACCUGCUCCACCCAUACCAAGAACGUACCCGGGCUGACUGUGCUCAGCACGUCUUCCCUUGAGCCAGCUGCUCCUCUCAGGCCAGGCACUCAGCAUCAUCGUCACUCACCAAGUUCUGAAUGCUCUUCCCUUUUGGGCUCACUGCCACCCUCCUCGGGCAUGGCACCCCUCCCAGAACCCAGUCCCCCUGCCACUAAUGAAAGCUUUAGGCCAUGCCAGCAAACUAGACACCUUCAAGACCAAGACGAACUGGUAUAGAAGACAAGGGGAUGUGGGGAUUGGAGCAAACUAGAGAAAGCACACAGGAGAACACAUGCCGUCUUGCAGAAGUUGCAUCCACUCAGCUUCAGCCAAUUGUUGCUAUGCGGGAACAUGGACCCAAAUCUUACAAUUUCCCAAGCCAUGCUAGAAAUCUAGGUUUUAGUGUGAAAUCUCUUUGUUAAAUUUAGGAGACUUAAUUGUAAAACAUUUUCAAAAUACUGUCAGUGAGCUGCCAGUUUUCAAUUUCUGCUUCUGAAUAGCCUUUGGAAGACCUCUGUCACCUUUUUUUUUUUUUUUUUUUUUGAGAUGGAGUUUCGCUGUUGUUGCCCAGGCUGGAGUGCAAUGGUGCAAUCUCAGCUCAUCGCAACCUCUGCCUCCCAGGUUCAAGCGAUUCUCCU